RNAcentral lists this ribosomal RNA (161 nucleotides) under uncultured bacterium. Its description in RNAcentral is "partial 16S ribosomal RNA". It matches the Rfam family "Bacterial small subunit ribosomal RNA", at positions 355 to 509 of the family's 1533-position model. The record is from RNAcentral.
UGAGGAAUAUUGGUCAAUGGGGCGGGGAGGCCUGAACCAGCCAAGUCGCGUGAGGGAAGACGGUCCUACGGAUUGUAAACCUCUUUUGCCGGGGAGCAACGGGGUCCUUGCGAGGGCCCGAUGAGAGUACCCGGAGAAAAAGCAUCGGCUAACUCCGUGCC